UACAGUCACAGCCACUCUUUCGUUCCAGAGACAAAAUCAUGGAUUAGACAUACUCAUGCAGCAUAGCAUGCACUAUCCCACCUAGCACUUUUGUCCCAUACUUGUAGAACGCAUAACACAGCUUUUCACCUGGCUUAAAGAAUCUCAAUGCAAGACAACAUAGCUCAACCAUUGUCAUAACAUUUCUCCUAGCUUUUGCUUCUUUUUGCCACCUUAAACUAAAACUAUCUCACACACCAUUAAUUAUAUAUUUUACAAGCAUUCAACAACACAGGAUAAC
Molecule: non-coding RNA, 280 nt
Organism: Pelobates cultripes (western spadefoot toad)
Lineage: Eukaryota; Metazoa; Chordata; Amphibia; Anura; Pelobatidae
Source: the annotation of a GenBank genome assembly